Molecule: non-coding RNA, 337 nt
Organism: Pelobates cultripes (western spadefoot toad)
Lineage: Eukaryota; Metazoa; Chordata; Amphibia; Anura; Pelobatidae
Source: the annotation of a GenBank genome assembly
AGAGAUAACAUGGAAUAAUACAUCAAUAAUUGGUUAGGUGUUAAGUGGUUGCUUCAAUGCUCUGCCUACUGUAGGUGAUGUCACCGGGGCCAUGAGAGUCUCCCACGGUUUCCCGGCGCCAUUUUGGUGCACGAGGUAGUUAGUCGAUGUUAGAAGGGAGAAAGGAAGGGGGAGGGGGGAAGGAGCUAGAAGCUUCCAGCAGCCAUCUUGAUUAUAACGUGUGUACUUAGCUACAUAUAUAUAUAUCGUGAAAUGAGUAAAUAGGCAUUUUUCACUAACUAGGAAAUAUGUGUAGACCUUAUUUCCACAACAGUCCCCCCUAAAAUGGCUAUUUACC